Molecule: long non-coding RNA, 2342 nt
Organism: Capsicum annuum
Lineage: Eukaryota; Viridiplantae; Streptophyta; Magnoliopsida; Solanales; Solanaceae
Exons: 2
Source: RefSeq, a predicted model, not a curated record
GAUGGUUUACAACAAAGAUCUUUCUCAAAUUUUCUUAUUAGUUCUGUCCUUGUGAACCCGAGAAGGAGUUUCUCAAAUUCUCGGGUUGAGGUUUGAUGCUAUCUCUGUUCGGAUAGCAUGUGUUAGUGAAGUUAAUCCAUAUAUGAUUAUGUUGUUGACCUUUGUGAUAAGAGAUAUCUUUAUUCCCUUCUCUGUUUGUCCUUCUUAAUGUCGUUAAAUUUGACAAAUCUUUCAUUUGUUUCCACUAGCCCUUCAGAGAUACAUGGCUUAAUGAUUUCUACCUUUAUGAAAUUAUUUCAAAAUGAUUUGGAUGGAGGGCUCCGAGUAUUGAUACUAAUCUUGAUUUAAUUCCAUUUUAAGUUCUUUCAAAUAAUAUUAAUUGACUCGAUAUACUUGCCAUCACUUUAGGCACCCAAUCACUUUAGGCACCCACGUACUUUGUGAGGUAAGGCUCAACCAUCCCAGAAAAGGAAUAAGAUGUAACAAAGAUCUACAUUCAACUUGAAGGUUAAAGGUUAACAACAGGACAAAUAAUGUUCUGAUGAAAUUCCAACCAGAACAAAAGUAAGUUUUUUUCCAAAAGUUCAAGUUUCUAAAUUCAUCGUAAAAGCUUUGUAUUUUAUAAUUUAAAGGUACUUCUAUUCAUCCUCCCUUGGUUCGUGUGUUUUUCCAAAAGUUCAAGUUUCUAAAUUCAUCGUAAAAGCUUUGUAUUUUAUAAUUUAAAGGUACUUCUAUUCAUCCUCCCUUGGUUCGUGUGCUAAUUUUUUUUUAAUCAAUCUUCCUAUUUAGAAUUUUGUUGUUAGAUUUUCAAGUAAAUGACUAACUAAUGCUAUUUAUUUCAGGGACACAAGGGUAGUUGAUCAAAUAAGUAAAAGUGAGAAGAACCAAAACUUUGAAAAAUGACUUGAAAUGAUUGUUUUUUUAUACACCUUCCAAACUAUUUGUUUGGAAAUUAUAUAAUACUCUACUUUUCUUCUAUUUCUUUAUAAUAAAAUAACUAAGCUCUUAUAUAUAUAUAUAUAUAUAUAUAUAUAUUAUUGACUUUGCUCAUUCUUUUGUUGUUAUUGGUUUGAGGUCCUGCGAUGGUCACAAGCUCGAGCUCCAAAAUUGAAUGUGAUGGUUUACAACAAAGAUAUUUCUCAAAUUUUCUUAUUAGUUCUGUCCGUGAGAACCCGAGAAGGAGUUUCUCGAAUUCUCGGGUUGAGGUUUCAUGCCAUCUCUGUUCGGAUAGCAUGUGUUAGUGAAGUUAAUCCAUAUAUGAAUAUGUUGGUGACCUUGGUGAUAAGUGAUAUCUUUAUUCCCUUUUCUGUUUGUCCUUCUUAAUGUCGUUAAAUUUGACAAAUCUUUCAUUUGUUUCCACUAGCCCUUCGGAGAUCCAUGUCUUAAUGAUUUCUAUAUUUAUGAAAUUAUUUCAAAAUUAUUUGGAUGUAGGGUUCCUAGUAUUGAUACUAAUCUUGAUUUAAUUACAUUUUAAGUUCUUACAAAUAUUAUUGACCGGAUAUGCUUGUACUUUGUGAUGUAAGGCUCAACCAUCCCAGAAAAGGAAGAUGUAACAAAGAUCUACAUUCAACUUGAAGGUUAAAGGUUAACAACAGGACAAAUAAUGUUCUGAUGAAAUUCCAACCAGAACAAAAGGACACAAGGGACACAAGGGUAGUGGAUCAAAUAAGUAAAAGUGAGAAGAACCAAAUCUUUGAAAAAUGACUUGAAACGGUCGUUUUUUUAUACACCUUCCAAACAAUUUGUUUGGAAAUUGUAUAAUACUCUACUUUUCUUCUAUUUCUUUAUAAUAAAAUAACUAAGCUCUUAUAUAGAUAUAUUAGACUUUGCUCAUUCUUUCAUUGUUAUUGAUUUGCUGUCCUGCGAUGGUCACAAGCUCGAGCUCCAAAAUUGAAUGUGAUGGUUUACAACAAAGAUCUUUCUCAAAUUUUCUUAGUAGUUCUGGCCUUGUGAACCCGGGAAGGAGUUUCUCAAAUUCUCGGGUUGAGGUUUGAUGCCAUCUCUGUUCGGAUAGCAUGUGUUAGUGAAGUUAAUCCAUAUAUGAAUAUGUUGGUGACCUUGGUGAUAAGAGAUAUCUUUAUUCCCUUCUCUGUUUUUCCUUAAUGUCGUUAAAUUUGACAAAUCGUUCAUUUGUUUCCACUAGCACUUCGGAGAUACAUGUCUUAAUGAUUUCUACCUUUAUGAAAUUAUUUCAAAAUGAUUUGGAUGGAGGGCUCCGAGUAUUGAUACUAAUCUUGAUUUAAUUACAUUUUAAGUUCUUUCAAAUAUUAUUAAUUGACUAGAUAUGCUUGCCAUCACUUUAGGCACCCAAUUACUUUGUGAGGUAAGGCUCAACCAUCCCA